GCCCUUGCGAUGCAAACACCGAAUUCCCUUGUGACAGCAAUGGAUGCAUUGAUCGUUUGAGAUGGUGCGAUUCUGUAAAAGACUGCGAUGACGGUUCAGAUGAAGCAUACUGCCAUGGCCGUAAUGCUUGUUUAGAGCAUCACUUCAAAUGCAACGAUGGCACGUGCAUUCCUCUUUCUGCACGAUGCGAUAACCAUAUAGACUGCAACGAUUCUUCAGACGAAAACUGUGAACCUGGCCCUUUAACGCAUCUUAGCGAUUCUCCGUCAUACACCUAUCACACCCAAGUGCCAUCGGCAGUAAGCAGUGCUGUAAUACUUGCAUCAGAUUGGAUCUUGAAUAAACGCGGGAAAGACUUCAGCUGGG
Uloborus diversus is the source of this 366-nucleotide long non-coding RNA. RefSeq lists it as uncharacterized. The transcript is spliced from 3 exons. Lineage: Eukaryota; Metazoa; Arthropoda; Arachnida; Araneae; Uloboridae. The record is from RefSeq and is a predicted model, not a curated record.